Molecule: ribosomal RNA, 557 nt
Filed under: uncultured Novosphingobium sp.
Lineage: Bacteria; Pseudomonadati; Pseudomonadota; Alphaproteobacteria; Sphingomonadales; Sphingomonadaceae
Description: bacterial SSU rRNA
Rfam family: Bacterial small subunit ribosomal RNA
Source: RNAcentral
ACGGGUGCGUAACGCGUGGGAAUCAGCCCUUGGGUUCGGAAUAACAGUUAGAAAUGACUGCUAAUACCGGAUGAUGUCUUCGGACCAAAGAUUUAUCGCCCAAGGAUGAGCCCGCGUAAGAUUAGCUAGUUGGUGGGGUAAUGGCCCACCAAGGCGACGAUCUUUAGCUGGUCUGAGAGGAUGAUCAGCCACACUGGGACUGAGACACGGCCCAGACUCCUACGGGAGGCAGCAGUGGGGAAUAUUGGACAAUGGGCGAAAGCCUGAUCCAGCAAUGCCGCGUGAGUGAUGAAGGCCUUAGGGUUGUAAAGCUCUUUUACCAGGGAUGAUAAUGACAGUACCUGGAGAAUAAGCUCCGGCUAACUCCGUGCCAGCAGCCGCGGUAAUACGGAGGGAGCUAGCGUUGUUCGGAAUUACUGGGCGUAAAGCGUACGUAGGCGGUUACUCAAGUCAGAGGUGAAAGCCCGGGGCUCAACCCCGGAACUGCCUUUGAAACUAGGCAGCUAGAGUCUUGGAGAGGUUAGUGGAAUUCCGAGUGUAGAGGUGAAAUUCGUAGA